UGAACGCUGACGGCGUGCCUAAUACAUGCACGUCGAGCGAACGGACGAGAAGCUUGCUUCUCUGAUGUUAGCGGCGGACGGGUGAGUAACACGUGGAUAACCUACCUAUAAGACUGGGAUAACUUCGGGAAACCGGAGCUAAUACCGGAUAAUAUUUUGAACCGCAUGGUUCAAAAGUGAAAGACGGUCUUGCUGUCACUUAUAGAUGGAUCCGCGCUGCAUUAGCUAGUUGGUAAGGUAACGGCUUACCAAGGCAACGAUGCAUAGCCGACCUGAGAGGGUGAUCGGCCACACUGGAACUGAGACACGGUCCAGACUCCUACGGGAGGCAGCAGUAGGGAAUCUUCCGCAAUGGGCGAAAGCCUGACGGAGCAACGCCGCGUGAGUGAUGAAGGUCUUCGGAUCGUAAAACUCUGUUAUUAGGGAAGAACAUAUGUGUAAGUAACUGUGCACAUCUUGACGGUACCUAAUCAGAAAGCCACGGCUAACUACGUG
RNAcentral lists this ribosomal RNA (495 nucleotides) under uncultured bacterium. RNAcentral describes it as "partial 16S ribosomal RNA". It matches the Rfam family "Bacterial small subunit ribosomal RNA", at positions 30 to 507 of the family's 1533-position model. The record is from RNAcentral.